AGAGUUUGAUCCUGGCUCAGGAUGAACGCUAGCGGCAGGCCUAAUACAUGCAAGUCGAACGGUAAAUAUUCAGCAAUGGAUAUGAGAGUGACGUACGGGUGCGUAACACGUAUGCAACCUACCCUUUACAGGAGGAUAGCUCGGGGAAACUCGGAUUAACCCUUCAUAAUAUAAUUGGAUGGCAUCAUUUGAUUAUUAAAUCUACGGAGGUAAAGGAUGGGCAUGCGUCUGAUUAGUUAGUUGGCGGUGUAACGGACCACCAAGACGAUGAUCAGUAGGGGAACUGAGAGGUUGAUCCCCCACACUGGCACUGAGAUACGGGCCAGACUCCUACGGGAGGCAGCAGUAGGGAAUAUUGGUCAAUGGAUGGAAGUCUGAACCAGCCAUGCCGCGUGCAGGAAGAAGGCCUUCUGGGUUGUAAACUGCUUUUGCCAGGGGCUAAAACGCCCAUGCGUGGGAAAUUGAAAGUACCUGGUGAAUAAGCCACGGCUAACUACGUGCCAGCAGCCGCGGUAAUACGUAGGUGGCAAGCGUUGUCCGGAUUUAUUGGGUUUAAAGGGUGCGUAGGCGGCUUUGUAAGUCAGUGGUGAAAUAUGGCAGCUCAACUGUCAAGGUGCCAUUGAUACUGCAGAGCUUGAGUACAGAUGAGGUAGGCGGAAUUGACGGUGUAGCGGUGAAAUGCUUAGAUAUCGUCAAGAACACCUAUAGCGAAGGCAGCUUACUAGGCUGUAACUGACGCUGAGGCACGAAAGUGUGGGGAUCAAACAGGAUUAGAUACCCUGGUAGUCCACACUGUAAACGUUGAUUACUCGCUGUGUGCGAUAUACAGUACGCGGCCAAGCGAAAGCGCUAAGUAAUCCACCUGGGGAGUACGCCGGCAACGGUGAAACUUAAAGGAAUUGACGG
Molecule: ribosomal RNA, 906 nt
Filed under: uncultured bacterium
Lineage: Bacteria
Description: bacterial SSU rRNA
Rfam family: Bacterial small subunit ribosomal RNA
Source: RNAcentral